UUAUUGGGACAUAUAAAAAAAGACAACUCUGUUCCACAGAGUAGCUGUUGACAUUAUAGUUGAGCAGGAACUUUGUUGACUCUAGAGAACCUCGGGCAAUUUGCACAUCCACGUGGCGGCGACUUUGCAUGCGGAUGUCAUCCAUAUCAACUUUUGAUGCCAGUUUCUGUGCCUACCAUGGUGACCACGGGUAACGGGGAAUCAGGGUUCUAUUCCGUACAGGGACCCUGAGAAACGACUACCACAUGCAAGGAAGGCAGCAGGCGCGCAAAUGCCCCACUCCCGAACCAGGAAGGUAGUGAUGA
This is a non-coding RNA of Pelobates cultripes (western spadefoot toad), 305 nucleotides long. Lineage: Eukaryota; Metazoa; Chordata; Amphibia; Anura; Pelobatidae. The record is from the annotation of a GenBank genome assembly.